Non-coding RNA from Paramormyrops kingsleyae, 644 nucleotides. NCBI's taxonomy places the organism in Eukaryota, Metazoa, Chordata, Actinopteri, Osteoglossiformes, Mormyridae. The record is from RefSeq and is a predicted model, not a curated record.
UUUUGAAUCCCUUUAGCUACCUAAGACAUACAAAGGGCCAUUAAAGGGGGAUUGAGAAGUUCAUGCAAACUUCUUGCAAAGUCUCCAAUGCACAGGAAAUCAGCCAUAUUCAGGAAACAGCACACACAGCAGUCAUAGUUUCAAGGGUGUGUCUAUACAGAUACUCCCCCCGACUCUGCUGUGUAUUUCCCCAUAAACAUCACAAGGACGUCUUGUAGUUAGAUUGAAAACAAUGAAACGACUAAUCCUGAGUUGCCAAUCAUGGAAGUCUACACAUCCCUCCUCUAAAUAAUCAACGGUCGCUAUAGCCUACAAUAAGUAUCGCAAAUUAAUAAAAUUACAUGUGUGCCAGCGAGAUUAAAAGAUGAAGAAGGUAGAUUAAAUGGAUAUGCAGACACCAUGAUGCAAAUGUGAAACCCUUUGUUCCCAGUGUUACACAAACCCCAACAAGAGAUGUUGUGGAUGUAAGCAUUCAAGAUUGUAUUGUACAGUUCUAGGUCAAAAUAAAAUAUAUAUUAACACACCAAGCUACUACGGAAAUCAUUUAUAAAGAGCUGAUAAAAGUGAAGUGUUAGAAAUAUGUGUUUUCUGGCUAUGUUCUUAGGUUUACAAUGCUUAUUAAAGCUUUGUCUUUAUUUAUAAUA